UACGUAGGGGGCCAGCGUUGUCCGGACUUACUGGGCGUAAAGCGCGCGCAGGUGGACGAGUAUGUGCCGUGUGAAAGCGCCGUCCUUACGAUGGUGAGGUCAUGGUAGACAGCUUGUCUAGAGGCUCGAAGAGGUCGAUGGAAUUCCGCGUGUAGCAGUGAAAUGCGUAGAUAUGCGGAGGAACACCGAUGGCGAAGGCAAUCCCCUGGGCCUGCACUGACGCUCAUGCACGAAAGCGUGGGGAGCAAACAGG
This 253-nucleotide ribosomal RNA is filed under the name uncultured bacterium. RNAcentral describes it as "partial 16S ribosomal RNA". It matches the Rfam family "Bacterial small subunit ribosomal RNA", at positions 524 to 776 of the family's 1533-position model. The record is from RNAcentral.